AAGAUGUGUACACCAAGAUUGUGACUGAGUGCAGCUGGAGCUCCUGAUAUGUUGCAUUUCUGCGAGCUGUAUGAGUGGAUAAUUACCAAGUAGAGGGUCAAAGAUGAAGCCUCUUGUGGAGUGAUGGGCUGAAUGGCCUAUUUCUGAUUGCAGCAGCCAGUCCUGCAAUAAGCUCCACAGGAUUUAUCCCAGUCUUCCCUGGUAGCCAAGAUGAUGUAGUGAAUUGGGUGAGCCAGAAUUCCUCUGGGCUACGUCAAGACAAGUGACCAGACACCCAAAUAUCUUUUUUCUGUGGGAAGACUGUCGCCCAGGUAUCUUUCUGGACUUACAGGUUGUUGGGAGUUUUUUUGUAUACUAUCAAGCAGCAACUAGAUCAUGAUCGUGUAUAAGAGGGUUUACCUUAAAUCUUUCAAAAAGAGGAAUAGGACUGCCCAUUAUUUCAAAUAAUCCAGUUUAGGUGAAAUCCACUUGAAAGUGAUGGGCAGCAGAAUGCUCACUGAAGAGAAAGGUAAGCAGUAAAUUUAGUCUGAAGAAAUUUGGUGACACUGUAAAGUAC
Molecule: long non-coding RNA, 556 nt
Filed under: Chrysolophus pictus (golden pheasant)
Lineage: Eukaryota; Metazoa; Chordata; Aves; Galliformes; Phasianidae
Description: lncRNA (ENSCPIG00010012591.1)
Source: RNAcentral